Molecule: unclassified non-coding RNA, 433 nt
Filed under: soil metagenome
Description: partial contains 5.8S ribosomal RNA, internal transcribed spacer 2, and large subunit ribosomal RNA
Rfam family: 5.8S ribosomal RNA (bases 1-120)
Source: RNAcentral
GAUGAAGAACGUAGCGAAAUGCGAUACGUAAUGUGAAUUGCAGAAUUCAGUGAAUCAUCGAAUCUUUGAACGCAUAUUGCGCUCUCUGGUAUUCCGGAGAGCAUGCUUGUUUGAGUAUCAGUAAACACCUCAACUUCCAUAUCUUUUUUGAAAUGGGAGUUGGACUUGAGUGAUCCCAACGCUUUUCCUCACCGAAAAGUGGCGGGUUACUUGAAAUGCAGGUGCAGCUGGACUUUUCUCUGGUCUAUAGGCAUAUCUAUUUAGUCUGCCUAAAAAACAGAUUAUUACCUUUGCUGCAGCUAACAUAAAGGAGAUUAGUUCUUGUGCUGACUGAUGCAGGAUUCACAAAGACAGGCUUCGGCCGACUUUGUAAACUCGAUCUCAAAUCAAGUAAGACUACCCGCUGAACUUAAGCAUAUCAAUAAGCGGAGGA